GGUGGAAGCAAGUGUCUGUGCCUUGGUGAGUGGAGUGAUGGAGGGAGCAGUUAAAGCCAGUGCUUCAGGAUGGCAGGGCUUGUGGCUGCCACCAGAGCAGGACAACAUGAGGGCUUCCUGAAUCUCAUGGCAGUGGAGGAGGCCAAAAGGAGCCUGCAGGGGGAUGCUUCAGUUUUCACUACGUGGGUGUGAACCGUGUCAAGCAGCGCAGACCACGUGAAUCAGUGCCGCGUGGUCCAGCUGCACAACGCCUUCCCAUCAUGAGGGGAAAAUGAUGGGAAGAACUAGGACGUGCUGAAAUUCCCUGGUUUUGACUGUGAUGUUAUUUGAGGCCAACUAACCCCCUCUUCUAGGAUUUAACCCCAGAAAAUGCCACAGGAUAUUGGGCAAGUUAUUUAUAGUAUGUUCCUCUUAUGGCAUAGACUCAGAGGAUGCAUGACUUCAAUUGUCCUUGUUUGCCACCUGAGCUUUAGAAACCUAAGAGAAGGAACCGUAACAUCUUAAUCCUGGAUUAAGCAACUUCUGUAUCUCUAGAAUGACAUUCCAUGUUAACAUUGCAGCCAUGAACUUACUCCCGAGGGACAGCUUGGCACUUUUGUCUAUUCAUGCAGUUGUCUAAAACUGCAUUCAAAUGUCCCUUCUGGAAGCAACCUUGCAUAUGUGUUGGCAGACUCAAAAAAUCUCCUGACAUCUGUGGCUUGCAAAGUUUUGUGCAUUCACGGUGUAGACUGUGGGAUUGGCGUUUAUCCACUUAUUCCCAAGUAUAGGCACUUGUACUCUUUUUAAUAAAAUACCUAUUGCAACAAUGACCUGGAACAACAGAAAAUGUUCAGCUGAAAGGUGCUGUCCCAUUUUUCCAAGCUAAUCCCAUUGUAUACCCAAAUGCCUUGGAUAUGAUGCAAAAGGUGAAGAAAUGAGAUUUUGUUUAGGAAUGGAGAGAAGUCAACCCCUUGGGCGUGAAUACCACAGUUGCCACAAGCCAGGCAACAGAUUCUCUAAGAAGGGAAAGUCAAAGAGGGCAAACCACAUAGAGGGCAAAAAAAAAAGCAUAUGUGUUUAUAUUGCUCCUUAAAAUCAACAUAAUGCAGCAGUGGUUUGUUCAGGUAGCAAUUAAAAAUAAUAAAUAGCUAAUGUUUUUUCUUUAAAGCUAACUGUGAAAAGCUUUUAUGAAUUGUUCUUUGUAUGUUUAAGUUCUCCUGCUCUGCAAUAUGCUUCAUGUCCUACAUAGUGGUAUUUUCUGGUGCCUGAAUCGAUAUUUUGUCAGUGAUCAAGUGCUUUUGCUAUGAAAAGGCUUUUAGUACUGUUAUGAAGCAGUCAAUAACCAUGACUGACCUUUCAAAACUCACAAGCCUUUACUCCAGCCACUUUGAAAAAGUGAAUCUAUAUAAUCUACUUGUGUUUCUUGGUAAGUAGGCUUUAAAAAGAGUAUAUGAACAGCAGCAGAGACCUGGCCCUUUGGCAGACCCCCUUGUAUCAAAUGGGCAGGUUUUGUUUCAGAGUAACAUGCUUGUCCUAUGCAGAAGCUGAUGUCCAUUAGCACAGAUGAUGAAAGCGUGUCAAAACCCUGCUCCUGUCCCAAACAAUGCUUUAUUUUGAAAUCUAACUUUGCUAUGUGGUUUUGAACAGAUUUCUGACUGUUCCUGGAAUAUUCUGGUUUGAUUAUACCUGAAGACUUCUUCAUGGUGUUAGGGGGUAUUAAGCAUUUUCUUUUAUCCAGGCAAUUGGUGCCUCACAGAGUCUGUAGAGAGUGGAAUACAUGCCUAGGCUGACCUGCUUCAGGGCACAUAGUCCCAGUGGCAGCCUUGGCUGGAUGCAAUCCCUUUCUCCAGAAGUGGAGGUCUUGGAAAGGCAGAGCAGACAUCAGGAUCUGUAAGAGGGGACAGAUUUUUUUACUACUUUUUUUAG
Long non-coding RNA from Pezoporus flaviventris, 1905 nucleotides. RefSeq lists it as uncharacterized. NCBI's taxonomy places the organism in Eukaryota, Metazoa, Chordata, Aves, Psittaciformes, Psittacidae. The transcript is spliced from 4 exons. The record is from RefSeq and is a predicted model, not a curated record.